This is a long non-coding RNA of Notolabrus celidotus (New Zealand spotty), 423 nucleotides long. RefSeq lists it as uncharacterized. The transcript is spliced from 2 exons. Lineage: Eukaryota; Metazoa; Chordata; Actinopteri; Labriformes; Labridae. The record is from RefSeq and is a predicted model, not a curated record.
ACUCUCUGUCUGGUUUAAGGGAAACAUCAGCAAACAAACUCUUCAAAAAACCCCAUCACUGCCCACCAAUCAAAGAGGAUGAUGCUGCUGGUUCAACCAAUCCAAGGCAGGAACAGAGGGAGGAGAGGUGAAGCCAGGAUGAGAGAGGCCCAUCCCAGCUGUCAUCGGCCGAGAGGCAGGGCACACCCUGGACUGGUUGCCAGUCAAUCACAGGGCUGACAUACAGUGAUGAACAGCCGGAUGUGCACAGGCAGAGACACACAAACACAUACACACCAGUAACAUUAAUUGUUGUCAAUUUUGUUUCUCUUUUCAUCUGUGUGUUAUUCUGUUUGUAAAGGAGGUUCAAAAACUAGGGUUGACUUGUAAUGAUGGUUAUGUAUAUAAUACUCUAUGUUGUAAUAUCAAAACGUGUCUCCAGUC